UACGUAGGUGGCGAGCGUUGUCCGGAUUUACUGGGCGUAAAGGGAGCGUAGGCGGACUUUUAAGUGAGAUGUGAAAUACCCGGGCUUAACUUGGGUGCUGCAUUUCAAACUGGAAGUCUAGAGUGCAGGAGAGGAGAAUGGAAUUCCUAGUGUAGCGGUGAAAUGCGUAGAGAUUAGGAAGAACACCAGUGGCGAAGGCGAUUCUCUGGACUGUAACUGACGCUGAGGCUCGAAAGACGUGGGGAGGCAAACAGGAUUAGAUACCCUGGUA
Molecule: ribosomal RNA, 271 nt
Filed under: uncultured prokaryote
Description: partial 16S ribosomal RNA
Rfam family: Bacterial small subunit ribosomal RNA
Source: RNAcentral